RNAcentral lists this transfer RNA (72 nucleotides) under Priacanthus sagittarius (arrow bullseye). RNAcentral's name for it is "tRNA-Val". It matches the Rfam family "tRNA". Rfam says of the family: Transfer RNA (tRNA) molecules are approximately 80 nucleotides in length. Their secondary structure includes four short double-helical elements and three loops (D, anti-codon, and T loops). Further hydrogen bonds mediate the characteristic L-shaped molecular structure. tRNAs have two regions of fundamental functional importance: the anti-codon, which is responsible for specific mRNA codon recognition, and the 3' end, to which the tRNAs corresponding amino acid is attached (by aminoacyl-tRNA synthetases). tRNAs cope with the degeneracy of the genetic code in two manners: having more than one tRNA (with a specific anti-codon) for a particular amino acid; and 'wobble' base-pairing, i.e. permitting non-standard base-pairing at the 3rd anti-codon position. The record is from RNAcentral. Lineage: Eukaryota; Metazoa; Chordata; Actinopteri; Priacanthiformes; Priacanthidae.
CAGAGUAUAGCUAAUGCAGCAAAGCACCUCCCUUACACUGAGAUGACACCCGUGCAAAUCGGGUUGCCCUGA